Molecule: ribosomal RNA, 253 nt
Filed under: uncultured bacterium
Lineage: Bacteria
Description: partial 16S ribosomal RNA
Rfam family: Bacterial small subunit ribosomal RNA
Source: RNAcentral
UACGAAGGGUGCGAGCGUUGUUCGGAAUUAUUGGGCGUAAAGGGUUCGUAGGCGGGAAUGUAAGUUGAGUGUGAAAACCCCGGGCUUAACCUGGGACGUGCACUCAAAACUGUAUUUCUUGAGUGUUGGAGAGGGUGGUGGAAUUGCUGGUGUAGGAGUGACAUCCGUAGAGAUCAGCAGGAACGCCAGAGGCGAAAGCGACCACCUGGCCAAACACUGACGCUGAGGAACGAAAGCGUGGGGAGCAAACAGG